RNAcentral lists this ribosomal RNA (515 nucleotides) under Lanassa venusta. RNAcentral's name for it is "partial large subunit ribosomal RNA". It matches the Rfam family "Bacterial large subunit ribosomal RNA", at positions 1819 to 2597 of the family's 2925-position model. Lineage: Eukaryota; Metazoa; Annelida; Polychaeta; Terebellida; Terebellidae. The record is from RNAcentral.
UGCCUUUUGAGCUUAAAAAUAAAAGGUCCAUCCUGCCCAGUGACCUACGGGUUAAACGGCCGCGGUACCCUGACCGUGCUAAGGUAGCAUAAUCACUCGCCCUUUAAUUGUGGGCUUGUAUGAAUGGAUAAACGAGGGAAAAACUGUCUCCUUAAUUUUAAUAAAAUUUGUACUUUAGGUGAAGAUCCCUAAAUAUAAUUAGAAGACAAGAAGACCCCAUAGAGCUUUAUUUUUACACCACCUAUUACAAAAUAAAUUUAUAUCUUAUUAUACUGACUAAUAAUUUAGCUGGGGCGGCUAAGGAAAUCAAUCUUCCAUUAUUAAUUCUAACAAGGUUUAUACACCUAUUAAAUAGACCCUUAUUGACCUAAAAACAAGCUACCUUGGGGGUAACAGAUUAAUCCUUCUUAAGAGUCCACAUUAACAGAAGGGCUUGACACCUCGAUGUUGGCUUAAGGUCCCCUUAGGGUCAGCAACAGCCCUAAUAGGUAGGUUUGUUCAACCUUUAAAACCUU